GAUGAACGCUGGCGGCGUGCUUAACACAUGCAAGUCGAACGGAAAGGCUCCUGCUUGCAGGGGUACUCGAGUGGCGAACGGGUGAGUAACACGCGGGUGAUCUGCCCUGCACUUCGGGAUAAGCCUGGGAAACUGGGUCUAAUACCGGAUAGGACGAUGGUUUGGAUGCCAUUGUGGAAAGUUUUUCGGUGUGGGAUGAGCUCGCGGCCUAUCAGCUUGUUGGUGGGGUAAUGGCCUACCAAGGCGUCGACGGGUAGCCGGCCUGAGAGGGUGGACGGCCAAAUUGGGGCUGAGGUACGGACCAGACUCCUACGGGAGGCAGCAGGGGGGAAUAUUGCGCAAUGGGCGCAAGCCUGAUGCAGCGACGCCGCGUGGGGGAUGACGGCCUUCGGGUUGUAAACUCCUUUCGCUAGGGACGAAGCGAAAGUGACGGUACCUGGAGAAGAAGCACCGGCUAACUACGUG
Molecule: ribosomal RNA, 465 nt
Filed under: uncultured bacterium
Lineage: Bacteria
Description: partial 16S ribosomal RNA
Rfam family: Bacterial small subunit ribosomal RNA
Source: RNAcentral